Molecule: ribosomal RNA, 262 nt
Filed under: uncultured archaeon
Lineage: Archaea
Description: partial 16S ribosomal RNA
Rfam family: Archaeal small subunit ribosomal RNA
Source: RNAcentral
ACGUCUACAUUAGAUACCCGCGUAGUCCAGGGUGUAAACGCUGCAGACUUGGUGUUGGAAGUCCUUUGGGGGCAUUCAGUGCCGGAGAGAAGUUGUUAAGUCUGCUACUUGGGGAGUACGUCCGCAAGGAUGAAACUUAAAGGAAUUGGCGGGGGAGCACCGCAACGGGAGGAGCGUGCGGUUUAAUUGGAUUCAACACCGUAAACUCACCAGGGAAGACUGUUACAUGAAAGCCGAGAUGAAGACUCUGCUAGAUUUUCAG